AUAUUCUAGUGAUUUGUUCUAGUACACUUAUGUUUAGGUUUUGGUUUCGAUCUCUUUCGAUUUAGGCUUUAAAAUUUCUGUUUUGUAAUGUGUUCAUGUUUCCCCUUUAUAGGGUUUUAGACUCCAAAAAAUUUACGUUUUCCUCCAGCUUUAGUUUUCAAGGACUUUUCUCUCGUACGUCGACUUUAGUUUCCGAUGACUUUUCUUUCGUCCAUCGGCUUAGCUUCCCUUGUUUGAAAUUUGUAUUUCACCAUGGUUCCAAAACAAGUUUCAGAUGAAAGAAAAAAAAAGUUCUAGUACACUUAUUUUAUACCACUCAAGUUCAACGCACAAAAUUACAAUUCUAUGUUCAACUUUUUUUCGUUUAAUUCUGCAAAU
RNAcentral lists this small RNA (378 nucleotides) under Arabidopsis thaliana (thale cress). RNAcentral describes it as "ATSL054340". Lineage: Eukaryota; Viridiplantae; Streptophyta; Magnoliopsida; Brassicales; Brassicaceae. The record is from RNAcentral.